UUCUGCCUACGGGGCGCAGCAGUAGGGAAUUUUCGUCAAUGGGCGCAAGCCUGAACGAGCAAUGCCGCGUGAGUGAGGAAGGUCUUCGGAUCGUAAAGCUCUGUUGCAGGUCAGAAAAGAAGGAAAGAGGAAAUGCUUUUCUUUUGAUAGUAACCUGCCAGAAAGUCACGGCUAACUACGUGCCAGCAGCCGCGGUAAUACGUAGGUGGCAAGCGUUAUCCGGAUUUAUUGGGUUUAAAGGGUGCGUAGGCGGGCUUUUAAGUCAGCGGUAAAAAUUCGGGGCUCAACCCCGUCCGGCCGUUGAA
This 305-nucleotide ribosomal RNA is filed under the name uncultured bacterium. RNAcentral describes it as "bacterial SSU rRNA". It matches the Rfam family "Bacterial small subunit ribosomal RNA", at positions 333 to 631 of the family's 1533-position model. The record is from RNAcentral.